Molecule: small nucleolar RNA, 65 nt
Organism: Chelydra serpentina (North American snapping turtle)
Lineage: Eukaryota; Metazoa; Chordata; Testudines; Chelydridae
Gene: SNORD58
Rfam family: Small nucleolar RNA SNORD58
About the family: snoRNA U58 is found in introns 1, 3 and 6 of the ribosomal protein RPL17 gene in humans.
Source: Ensembl
UUGCUAUUAUGACUAUCUUAGGACACCUUUGGAAAUAACCAUGAAAAAAAUGCAUUCUGAACAAC